Molecule: long non-coding RNA, 382 nt
Organism: Cyprinus carpio (common carp)
Lineage: Eukaryota; Metazoa; Chordata; Actinopteri; Cypriniformes; Cyprinidae
Source: RefSeq, a predicted model, not a curated record
UUGACAUGACAAAGCAUAUCAGAGUUUAUGAUAACACCAGCCAAUAUCUGACAAUACACAACCGUGACAUGGAAAUUCUGAAAGAUGCUUUAAGAAAUAUUGCAUCCUUGGACGAUUGGACUGUGUCUAGUCCACAGCAAUGGCAGAGAGACAAUGGAAGGAACUGUGGUGUUUUCGUAUGCACAAUGGCAGAGAUGGAAGCUAAAAGUUUUAAAAUGUGCCAGGAAAUUCUGCACACUGAACAGAUGGGAUCCCUUCGUCUUUACCAUGCCUCAUGCAUGGUGAAACAUCUGCAACCAGAGGACUUUUCACCCGAAGUCAAAAUAGUCCAGAGUGCAACACAGACCAGCUGUAUGGCCCAGGAUGUACUGUAGGAGUUUGC